GGCGCACGGGUGAGUAGCGCGUGGGAACCUGCCCCUUUGUGGGGGAUAACCGAGGGAAACUUCGGCUAAUACCGCAUGCGCCGGGAGCAAUCUCGGGAAAGAUUUAUCGCAGAGGGAGGGGCCCGCGUCGGAUUAGCUAGUUGGUGGGGUAACGGCCUACCAAGGCUCCGAUCCGUAGCUGGUCUGAGAGGAUGAUCAGCCACACUGGGACUGAGACACGGCCCAGACUCCAUACGGGAGGCAGCAGUGGGGAAUUUUUCGCAAUGGGGGCAACCCUGACGAAGCAACGCCGCGUGGGUGAUGAAGUCUCUUGGGACGUAAAACCCUUUCGACGGGGAAGAAACCGCAAGGUUGACGGUACCCGUAGAAGAAGCCCCGGCUAACUCCGUGCCAGCCGCCGCGG
This 403-nucleotide ribosomal RNA is filed under the name uncultured bacterium. RNAcentral describes it as "bacterial SSU rRNA". It matches the Rfam family "Bacterial small subunit ribosomal RNA", at positions 97 to 520 of the family's 1533-position model. The record is from RNAcentral.